This 429-nucleotide ribosomal RNA is filed under the name Gemmatimonadota bacterium. RNAcentral describes it as "Gemmatimonadetes bacterium partial 16S ribosomal RNA". It matches the Rfam family "Bacterial small subunit ribosomal RNA", at positions 355 to 776 of the family's 1533-position model. Lineage: Bacteria; Pseudomonadati; Gemmatimonadota. The record is from RNAcentral.
UAGGGAAUCUUCGGCAAUGGACGAAAGUCUGACCGAGCAACGCCGCGUGAGUGAAGAAGGUUUUCGGAUCGUAAAACUCUGUUGUUAGAGAAGAACAAGGACGUUAGUAACUGAACGUCCCCUGACGGUAUCUAACCAGAAAGCCACGGCUAACUACGUGCCAGCAGCCGCGGUAAUACGUAGGUGGCAAGCGUUGUCCGGAUUUAUUGGGCGUAAAGCGAGCGCAGGCGGUUUCUUAAGUCUGAUGUGAAAGCCCCCGGCUCAACCGGGGAGGGUCAUUAGAAACUGGGAGACUUGAGUGCAGAAGAGGAGGUUGGAUUUCCAUGUGUAUCGAUGAAUUGCGUAGAUAUAUGGGGGAACACCAGGGGCGAAGGCGGCUCUCUGGUCUGUAACUGACGCUGAGGCUCGAAAGCGUGGGGAGCAAACAGG